RNAcentral lists this ribosomal RNA (478 nucleotides) under uncultured bacterium. RNAcentral's name for it is "bacterial SSU rRNA". It matches the Rfam family "Bacterial small subunit ribosomal RNA", at positions 49 to 509 of the family's 1533-position model. The record is from RNAcentral.
UAACACAUGCAAGUCGAGGGGUAACGACAGCGAAAGCUUGCUUUUGCUGGGCGACGACCGGCGCACGGGUGAGUAACGCGUAUCCAACCUGCCCAUAACUAAGGGAUAAUCCGUAGAAAUGCGGUCUAAUACCUUAUGUGUUCCGAAGAAGACAUCUGAAUUGGAAUAAAGAUUUAUCGGUUAUGGAUGGGGAUGCGUCUGAUUAGAUUGUUGGCGGGCAACGGCCCACCAAGUCUACGAUCAGUAGGGGUUCUGAGAGGAAGGUCCCCCACAUUGGAACUGAGACACGGUCCAAACUCCUACGGGAGGCAGCAGUGAGGAAUAUUGGUCAAUGGGCGAGAGCCUGAACCAGCCAAGUAGCGUGCAGGAUGACGGCCCUAUGGGUUGUAAACUGCUUUUGUACGGGAGUAAAGUAGAGUCACCGUGUGGCGUUAUUUGCGACGGUACCGUACGAAUAAGGACCGGCUAAUUCCGUGCC